This 61-nucleotide transfer RNA is filed under the name Cordylochernes scorpioides. RNAcentral describes it as "tRNA-Val". The record is from RNAcentral. Lineage: Eukaryota; Metazoa; Arthropoda; Arachnida; Pseudoscorpiones; Chernetidae.
UGUUCCCGCCCGGGAUCGAACCGGGGACCUUGUGCGUGUGAAGCACAUCUCCCAAGUACAC